This 632-nucleotide ribosomal RNA is filed under the name Ambispora sp. JP-2009-1. RNAcentral describes it as "SSU rRNA". It matches the Rfam family "Eukaryotic small subunit ribosomal RNA", at positions 526 to 1159 of the family's 1831-position model. The record is from RNAcentral. Lineage: Eukaryota; Fungi; Glomeromycota; Glomeromycetes; Archaeosporales; Ambisporaceae.
UAAAUCUCUUAACGAGGAACAAUUGGAGGGCAAGUCUGGUGCCAGCAGCCGCGGUAAUUCCAGCUCCAAUAGCGUAUAUUAAAGUUGUUGCAGUUAAAAAGCUCGUAGUUGAAUUUUGGGUCUGGCCGGGCGGUCCGCCUUCUGGGUGAGUACUGAUCCGACGUCGGACCUAUCCUUCUGGUGAAUCGGCAUGUCCUUUACUGGGUGUGUCGGGGAACCAGGACCAUUACCUUGAAAAAAUUAGAGUGUUCAAAGCAGGCGCAUGCUCGAAUACAUUAGCAUGGAAUAAUGAAAUAGGACGCGUGGUGCUAUUUUGUUGGUUUCUAGAACCGCCGUAAUGAUUAAUAGGGAUAGUUGGGGGCAUUAGUAUUCAAUUGUCAGAGGUGAAAUUCUUGGAUUUAUUGAAGACUAACUUCUGCGAAAGCAUUUGCCAAGGAUGUUUUCAUUAAUCAAGAACGAAAGUUAGGGGAUCGAAGACGAUCAGAUACCGUCGUAGUCUUAACCAUAAACUAUGCCGACUAGGAAUCGGGCGAUGUUAUUUUCACGACUCGCCCGGCGCCUUAUGGGAAACCAAAGUUUUUGGGUUCCGGGGGGAGUAUGGUCGCAAGGCUGAAACUUAAAAGAAUUGACGG